GUGGGGAAUUUUGGACAAUGGGCGCAAGCCUGAUCCAGCAAUGCCGCGUGCAGGAAGAAGGCCUUCGGGUUGUAAACUGCUUUUGUACGGAACGAAACGGUCCUGGUUAAUACCCGGGGCUAAUGACGGUACCGUAAGAAUAAGCACCGGCUAACUACGUGCCAGCAGCCGCGGUAAUACGUAGGGUGCAAGCGUUAAUCGGAAUUACUGGGCGUAAAGCGUGCGCAGGCGGUUAUGUAAGACAGUUGUGAAAUCCCCGGGCUCAACCUGGGAACUGCAUCUGUGACUGCAUAGCUAGAGUACGGUAGAGGGGGAUGGAAUUCCGCGUGUAGCAGUGAAAUGCGUAGAUAUGCGGAGGAACACCGAUGGCGAAGGCAAUCCCCUGGACCUGUACUGACGCUCAUGCACGAAAGCGUGGGGAGCAAACAGGAUUAGAAACCCGUGUAGUCC
This 450-nucleotide ribosomal RNA is filed under the name uncultured bacterium. RNAcentral describes it as "partial 16S ribosomal RNA". It matches the Rfam family "Bacterial small subunit ribosomal RNA", at positions 354 to 796 of the family's 1533-position model. The record is from RNAcentral.